Molecule: small nuclear RNA, 104 nt
Organism: Nomascus leucogenys (northern white-cheeked gibbon)
Lineage: Eukaryota; Metazoa; Chordata; Mammalia; Primates; Hylobatidae
Source: Ensembl
GUGCUUCCUUCAGCAUCACGUAUACUAAAAUUGGAAUGAUACAGAGAUUAGCAUGGCCCCUGCACAAGGAUGACAUGCAAAUUCAUGAAGCACUCUAUAUUUUC